RNAcentral lists this ribosomal RNA (770 nucleotides) under Pseudomonas putida. RNAcentral describes it as "bacterial SSU rRNA". It matches the Rfam family "Bacterial small subunit ribosomal RNA", at positions 172 to 937 of the family's 1533-position model. Lineage: Bacteria; Pseudomonadati; Pseudomonadota; Gammaproteobacteria; Pseudomonadales; Pseudomonadaceae. The record is from RNAcentral.
CAUACGUCCUACGGGAGAAAGCAGGGGACCUUCGGGCCUUGCGCUAUCAGAUGAGCCUAGGUCGGAUUAGCUUGUUGGUGAGGUAAUGGCUCACCAAGGCGACGAUCCGUAACUGGUCUGAGAGGAUGAUCAGUCACACUGGAACUGAGACACGGUCCAGACUCCUACGGGAGGCAGCAGUGGGGAAUAUUGGACAAUGGGCGAAAGCCUGAUCCAGCCAUGCCGCGUGUGUGAAGAAGGUCUUCGGAUUGUAAAGCACUUUAAGUUGGGAGGAAGGGCAGUAAGCUAAUACCUUGCUGUUUUGACGUUACCGACAGAAUAAGCACCGGCUAACUCUGUGCCAGCAGCCGCGGUAAUACAGAGGGUGCAAGCGUUAAUCGGAAUUACUGGGCGUAAAGCGCGCGUAGGUGGUUUGUUAAGUUGGAUGUGAAAGCCCCGGGCUCAACCUGGGAACUGCAUCCAAAACUGGCAAGCUAGAGUACGGUAGAGGGUGGUGGAAUUUCCUGUGUAGCGGUGAAAUGCGUAGAUAUAGGAAGGAACACCAGUGGCGAAGGCGACCACCUGGACUGAUACUGACACUGAGGUGCGAAAGCGUGGGGAGCAAACAGGAUUAGAUACCCUGGUAGUCCACGCCGUAAACGAUGUCAACUAGCCGUUGGAAUCCUUGAGAUUUUAGUGGCGCAGCUAACGCAUUAAGUUGACCGCCUGGGGAGUACGGCCGCAAGGUUAAAACUCAAAUGAAUUGACGGGGGCCCGCACAAGCGGUGGAG